AGAGUUUGAUCCUGGCUCAGAACGAACGCUGGCGGCAGGCUUAACACAUGCAAGUCGAGCGCCCCGCAAGGGGAGCGGCAGACGGGUGAGUAACGCGUGGGAAUCUACCCAUCUCUACGGAACAACUCCGGGAAACUGGAGCUAAUACCGUAUACGUCCUUCGGGAGAAAGAUUUAUCGGAGAUGGAUGAGCCCGCGUUGGAUUAGCUAGUUGGUGGGGUAAUGGCCUACCAAGGCGACGAUCCAUAGCUGGUCUGAGAGGAUGAUCAGCCACAUUGGGACUGAGACACGGCCCAAACUCCUACGGGAGGCAGCAGUGGGGAAUAUUGGACAAUGGGCGCAAGCCUGAUCCAGCCAUGCCGCGUGAGUGAUGAAGGCCCUAGGGUUGUAAAGCUCUUUCAACGGUGAAGAUAAUGACGGUAACCGUAGAAGAAGCCCCGGCUAACUUCGUGCCAGCAGCCGCGGUAAUACGAAGGGGGCUAGCGUUGUUCGGAAUUACUGGGCGUAAAGCGCACGUAGGCGGAUAUUUAAGUCAGGGGUGAAAUCCCGGGGCUCAACCCCGGAACUGCCUUUGAUACUGGAUAUCUGGAGUCCGAGAGAGGUGAGUGGAAUUCCGAGUGUAGAGGUGAAAUUCGUAGAUAUUCGGAGGAACACCAGUGGCGAAGGCGGCUCACUGGCUCGGUACUGACGCUGAGGUGCGAAAGCGUGGGGAGCAAACAGGAUUAGAUACCCCGGUAGUCC
This 740-nucleotide ribosomal RNA is filed under the name uncultured bacterium. Its description in RNAcentral is "bacterial SSU rRNA". It matches the Rfam family "Bacterial small subunit ribosomal RNA", at positions 8 to 796 of the family's 1533-position model. The record is from RNAcentral.